Oncorhynchus tshawytscha (Chinook salmon) is the source of this 376-nucleotide long non-coding RNA. NCBI's taxonomy places the organism in Eukaryota, Metazoa, Chordata, Actinopteri, Salmoniformes, Salmonidae. The record is from Ensembl.
GUGGUCUAGUGGUUAGAGUGUAGGGUCGGCAGGUAGCCUAGUGGUUAGAGUGUAGGGUCGGCAGGUGGUCUAGUGGUUAGAGUGUAGGGUCGGCAGGUAGCCUAGUGGUUAGAGUGUAGGGUCGGCAGGUGGUCUAGUGGUUAGAGUGUAGUGUCGACAGGUAGUCUAGUGGUUAGAGUGUAGGGUUGGCAGGUAGCCUAGUGGUUAGAGUGUAGGGUCGGCAGGUAGCCUAGUGGUUAGAGUGUAGGGUCGGCAGGUAGCCUAGUGGUUAGAGUGUAGGGGCGGCAGGUAGUCUAGUGGUUGAAGUGUAGGGUCGACAGGUAGCCUAGUGGUUAGAGUGUAGGGUCGGCAGGUAGUCUAGUGGUUAGAGCGUAGG